GAUGAACGCUGGCGGCGUGCCUAAUACAUGCAAGUCGAGCGAACGGACGAGGAGCUUGCUUCUCUGAUGUUAGCGGCGGACGGGUGAGUAACACGUGGAUAACCUACCUAUAAGACUGGGAUAACUUCGGGAAACCGGAGCUAAUACCGGAUAAUAUAUUGAACCGCAUGGUUCAAUAGUGAAAGACGGUUUUGCUGUCACUUAUAGAUGGAUCCGCGCUGCAUUAGCUAGUUGGUAAGGUAACGGCUUACCAAGGCAACGAUGCAUAGCCGACCUGAGAGGGUGAUCGGCCACACUGGAACUGAGACACGGUCCAGACUCCUACGGGAGGCAGCAGUAGGGAAUCUUCCGCAAUGGGCGAAAGCCUGACGGAGCAACGCCGCGUGAGUGAUGAAGGUCUUCGGAUCGUAAAACUCUGUUAUUAGGGAAGAACAUAUGUGUAAGUAACUGUGCACGUCUUGACGGUACCUAAUCAGAAAGCCACGGCUAACUACGUG
Molecule: ribosomal RNA, 497 nt
Filed under: uncultured bacterium
Lineage: Bacteria
Description: partial 16S ribosomal RNA
Rfam family: Bacterial small subunit ribosomal RNA
Source: RNAcentral